This 497-nucleotide ribosomal RNA is filed under the name uncultured bacterium. RNAcentral's name for it is "partial 16S ribosomal RNA". It matches the Rfam family "Bacterial small subunit ribosomal RNA", at positions 28 to 507 of the family's 1533-position model. The record is from RNAcentral.
GAUGAACGCUGGCGGCGUGCCUAAUACAUGCAAGUCGAGCGAACGGACGAGAAGCUUGCUUCUCUGAUGUUAGCGGCGGACGGGUGAGUAACACGUGGAUAACCUACCUAUAAGACUGGGAUAACUUCGGGAAACCGGAGCUAAUACCGGAUGAUAUUUUGAACCGCAUGGUUCAAAAGUGAAAGACGGUCUUGCUGUCACUUAUAGAUGGAUCCGCGCUGCAUUAGCUAGUUGGUAAGGUAACGGCUUACCAAGGCAACGAUGCAUAGCCGACCUGAGAGGGUGAUCGGCCACACUGGAACUGAGACACGGUCCAGACUCCUACGGGAGGCAGCAGUAGGGAAUCUUCCGCAAUGGGCGAAAGCCUGACGGAGCAACGCCGCGUGAGUGAUGAAGGUCUGCGGAUCGUAAAACUCUGUUAUUAGGGAAGAACAUAUGUGUAAGUAACUGUGCACAUCUUGACGGUACCUAAUCAGAAAGCCACGGCUAACUACGUG